Molecule: ribosomal RNA, 372 nt
Filed under: uncultured organism
Description: bacterial SSU rRNA
Rfam family: Bacterial small subunit ribosomal RNA
Source: RNAcentral
CAGAGGGUGCAAGCGUUGUUCGGAAUUACUGGGCGUAAAGCGCGUGUAGGCGGUCUUUCAAGUCCUGUGUGAAAGCCCUGGGCUCAACCCAGGAAGUGCGCAGGAUACUGAUUGACUGGAGUGGCGGAGAGGAUGGCGGAAUUCCCGGUGUAGAGGUGAAAUUCGUAGAUAUCGGGAGGAACACCUGUGGCGAAGGCGGCCAUCUGGACGUUCACUGACGCUGAGACGCGAAAGCGUGGGUAGCAAACAGGAUUAGAUACCCUGGUAGUCCACGCUGUAAACGAUGGAUGCUAGAUGUCACGGGCAUUGACCCCUGUGGUGUCGACGCUAACGCAUUAAGCAUCCCGCCUGGGGAGUACGGCCGCAAGGUUA